UAGUGUUACACCUCUUUUGGAAUUUGUCUAGCAGGCUUUCCGGCAAACCCCC
Molecule: small nuclear RNA, 52 nt
Organism: Callithrix jacchus (white-tufted-ear marmoset)
Lineage: Eukaryota; Metazoa; Chordata; Mammalia; Primates; Cebidae
Gene: U7
Rfam family: U7 small nuclear RNA
About the family: Animal histone pre-mRNAs are spliced by a different mechanism than nuclear pre-mRNAs and self-splicing introns. This processing involves the U7 snRNP, which contains only one RNA species: U7.
Source: Ensembl